Long non-coding RNA from Eriocheir sinensis (Chinese mitten crab), 1136 nucleotides. RefSeq lists it as uncharacterized. The transcript is spliced from 2 exons. The record is from RefSeq and is a predicted model, not a curated record. NCBI's taxonomy places the organism in Eukaryota, Metazoa, Arthropoda, Malacostraca, Decapoda, Varunidae.
GUGAAGGAUGCCGGGUGUGUGAGGGAAGUCAGAUGUGUAUGGUAGCCAGAUAUGAAUGUAUGGUGGGAUGUGUGUGUGUAUGUGUGUGUGUAUGUGUGUGUGUGUUUGGGAGGGAAACCACGUGUGUAAAGUGUGUAGGAAGUCAGGUAUAUGUGAGCGUUGGAGGAGGGAGAGGCAGAUGUGUGUGUAAUAAAAGUGGGAAAAGUUAGAUAGGGAGAAAAGGAAAAAGAUGUGAGUGGGUGAGCGGGGAAAGCCAGGUGUAAAAGCCAGGUAUUUACGAGGGAAGCCAGGUGUGAAGACCAUCCCGGGAUCAAAGAGAGCGUGAGGAAUGAGGAAAAAACGGGGCGAGGAAAACGAGAGGAGCAGAUAAAAGAGUGAGGAAAAAGUGAGUGAAGGAGGAGGAGAAGGAAAGGAAAAGAAAAGAGUGUGAGGCAAAAACGGGUGGAGGAAAACGAGAGGAAUAGAUAAAAAAGUGAAGAUAGAAGUGAAUAAAGGGAAGAAGAGAAGGAAGUAAAAAAAAUAGGUAAGAGAGGAAAAGGAGAGGAAAAAGGAAAAAAUUGAGGUAAAAGCGAAAGGGGAGAAUCGGAGGAGGGAAAGGAAAAGGUAAGGAAAAUAAAUUGGAGCAGAAAGAGAGGGAAGGAAAAGGCAGCAGAAGGAGAGAAGUAAAUGUAGGGAAAGGAGAGGAAAAGGAAAACAAGUGAGGUAAAAGCGAAAGGAGAGAAAGGGAGGAGGGAAAGGAAAAGGUAGGGAGAAGAAAUUGGAGCAGAAAGAGAGGGAAGGAAAAGGCAGUAGAAGGAGAGAAGUAAAUGUAGGGAAAGGAGAGGAAAAAGGAAAAAAGUGAGGUAAAAGCGAAAGGAGAGAAAAGAAGGAGGGAAAAAAACACAAUAGGAGGAGAGAGCAAUUAUAUGAAAAGGAGUUGAAGGACAAAACAGUUGGAGGAAAAAAACAGGGAAAAAAAAACGAGAGAGGAGAAGAAAGGAAAGAGGGAAGAAAGAUAGAGGAACACAAAAACGGAGAGGAAUGUGGUAGAGAGAGAGAGAGAGAGAGAGAGAGAGAGAGAGAGAGAGAGAGAGAGAGAGAGAGAGAGAGAGAGAGAGAGAGAGAGAGAGAGAGAGAGAGAGAGAGAGAGAGAGAGA